UUCUCCUACGGGAGGCAGCAGUGGGGAAUAUUGCACAAUGGGGGAAACCCUGAUGCAGCAACGCCGCGUGAGUGAAGAAGUCAUUCGUGAUGUAAAGCUCUAUCAGCAGGGAAGAAAAUGACGGUACCUGAGUAAGAAGCCCCGGCUAACUACGUGCCAGCAGCCGCGGUAAUACGUAGGGGGCAAGCGUUAUCCGGAUUUACUGGGUGUAAAGGGAGCGUAGACGGCAGUGCAAGUCUGGAGUGAAAGCCUGGGGCUCAACCCCGGAACUGCUUUGGAAACUGUGCUGCUUGAGUACCGGAGGG
This 305-nucleotide ribosomal RNA is filed under the name uncultured bacterium. RNAcentral's name for it is "bacterial SSU rRNA". It matches the Rfam family "Bacterial small subunit ribosomal RNA", at positions 334 to 656 of the family's 1533-position model. The record is from RNAcentral.